UUACAACGUCCUUUGGUCUUUUUAUAUUAUCUAUUUACAAAAAGAAAAGAAAAUCAGAAAUAAAAAUCCACCAAUUUCCCUCGUUCUGCCUUCUUUUUUUCUCUGUGCCCCUUUUUCGUUUUAUUUGUGUCUUCUUUCUGUUGCGUUUGCUAGUCUUUGGCAGGUACUGUGUGCAGAGGUUGCGGAUGUGGCAUGUACGGAGGAGAAGGCGCGCGUACGAGGCUCGUGCGAG
Molecule: long non-coding RNA, 232 nt
Filed under: Gossypium raimondii (Peruvian cotton)
Lineage: Eukaryota; Viridiplantae; Streptophyta; Magnoliopsida; Malvales; Malvaceae
Description: long non-coding RNA (GRAI_LNC000812)
Source: RNAcentral